Molecule: ribosomal RNA, 1713 nt
Filed under: Campylobacter jejuni
Lineage: Bacteria; Pseudomonadati; Campylobacterota; Epsilonproteobacteria; Campylobacterales; Campylobacteraceae
Description: partial 23S ribosomal RNA
Rfam family: Bacterial large subunit ribosomal RNA
Source: RNAcentral
AGGUAAGCUACUAAGAGCGAAUGGUGGAUGCCUUGACUGGUAAAGGCGAUGAAGGACGUACUAGACUGCGAUAAGCUACGGGGAGCUGUCAAGAAGCUUUGAUCCGUAGAUUUCCGAAUGGGGCAACCCAAUGUAUAGAGAUAUACAUUACCUAUAUAGGAGCGAACGAGGGGAAUUGAAACAUCUUAGUACCCUCAGGAAAAGAAAUCAAUAGAGAUUGCGUCAGUAGCGGCGAGCGAAAGCGCAAGAGGGCAAACCCAGUGCUUGCACUGGGGGUUGUAGGACUGCAAUGUGCAAGAGGUAAGUUUAGCAGAACAUUCUGGAAAGUAUAACCAUAGAGGGUGAUAGUCCCGUAUGCGAAAAACAAACCUUAGCUAGCAGUAUCCUGAGUAGGGCGGGACACGAGGAAUCCUGUCUGAAUCCGGGUCGACCACGAUCCAACCCUAAAUACUAAUACCAGAUCGAUAGUGCACAAGUACCGUGAGGGAAAGGUGAAAAGAACUGAGGUGAUCAGAGUGAAAUAGAACCUGAAACCAUUUGCUUACAAUCAUUCAGAGCCUUAUGUAGCAAUACAGGGUGAUGGACUGCCUUUUGCAUAAUGAGCCUGCGAGUUGUGGUGUCUGGCAAGGUUAAGCAAACGCGAAGCCGUAGCGAAAGCGAGUCUGAAUAGGGCGCUUAGUCAGAUGCUGCAGACCCGAAACGAAGUGAUCUAUCCAUGAGCAAGUUGAAGCUAGUGUAAGAACUAGUGGAGGACUGAACCCAUAGGCGUUGAAAAGCCCCGGGAUGACUUGUGGAUAGGGGUGAAAGGCCAAUCAAACUUCGUGAUAGCUGGUUCUCUCCGAAAUAUAUUUAGGUAUAGCGUUGUGUCGUAAUAUAAGGGGGUAGAGCACUGAAUGGGCUAGGGCAUACACCAAUGUACCAAACCCUAUCAAACUCCGAAUACCUUAUAUGUAAUCACAGCAGUCAGGCGGCGAGUGAUAAAAUCCGUCGUCAAGAGGGAAACAACCCAGACUACCAGCUAAGGUCCCUAAAUCUUACUUAAGUGGAAAACGAUGUGAAGUUACUUAAACAACCAGGAGGUUGGCUUAGAAGCAGCCAUCCUUUAAAGAAAGCGUAAUAGCUCACUGGUCUAGUGAUUUUGCGCGGAAAAUAUAACGGGGCUAAAGUAAGUACCGAAGCUGUAGACUUAGUUUACUAAGUGGUAGGAGAGCGUUCUAUUUGCGUCGAAGGUAUACCGGUAAGGAGUGCUGGAGCGAAUAGAAGUGAGCAUGCAGGCAUGAGUAGCGAUAAUUAAUGUGAGAAUCAUUAACGCCGUAAACCCAAGGUUUCCUACGCGAUGCUCGUCAUCGUAGGGUUAGUCGGGUCCUAAGUCGAGUCCGAAAGGGGUAGACGAUGGCAAAUUGGUUAAUAUUCCAAUACCAACAUUAGUGUGCGAUGGAAGGACGCUUAGGGCUAAGGGGGCUAGCGGAUGGAAGUGCUAGUCUAAGGUCGUAGGAGGUUAUACAGGCAAAUCCGUAUAACAAUACUCCGAGAACUGAAAGGCUUUUUGAAGUCUUCGGAUGGAUAGAAGAACCCCUGAUGCCGUCGAGCCAAGAAAAGUUUCUAAGUUUAGCUAAUGUUGCCCGUACCGUAAACCGACACAGGUGGGUGGGAUGAGUAUUCUAAGGCGCGUGGAAGAACUCUCUUUAAGGAACUCUGCAAAAUAGCACCGUA